AGUGAACGCUGGCGGUAGGCCUAACACAUGCAAGUCGAACGGCAGCACAGUAAGAGCUUGCUCUUACGGGUGGCGAGUGGCGGACGGGUGAGGAAUACAUCGGAAUCUACUUUUUCGUGGGGGAUAACGUAGGGAAACUUACGCUAAUACCGUAUACGACCUACGGGUGAAAGCAGGGGAUCUUCGGACCUUGCGCGAUUGAAUGAGCCGAUGUCGGAUUAGCUAGUUGGCGGGGUAAAGGCCCACCAAGGCGACGAUCCGUAGCUGGUCUGAGAGGAUGAUCAGCCACACUGGAACUGAGACACGGUCCAGACUCCUACGGGAGGCAGCAGUGGGGAAUAUUGGACAAUGGGCGCAGGCCUGAUCCAGCCAUACCGCGUGGGUGAAGAAGGCCUUCGGGUUGUAAAGCCCUUUUGUUGGGAAAGAAAAGCAGCAGGUUAAUACCCCGCUGUUCUGACGGUACCCAAAGAAUAAGCACCGGCUAACUUCGUG
This 492-nucleotide ribosomal RNA is filed under the name uncultured bacterium. RNAcentral's name for it is "partial 16S ribosomal RNA". It matches the Rfam family "Bacterial small subunit ribosomal RNA", at positions 29 to 507 of the family's 1533-position model. The record is from RNAcentral.